This 594-nucleotide ribosomal RNA is filed under the name uncultured Dethiobacter sp. Its description in RNAcentral is "bacterial SSU rRNA". It matches the Rfam family "Bacterial small subunit ribosomal RNA", at positions 8 to 526 of the family's 1533-position model. Lineage: Bacteria; Bacillati; Bacillota; Dethiobacteria; Dethiobacterales; Dethiobacteraceae. The record is from RNAcentral.
AGAGUUUGAUCCUGGCUCAGGACGAACGCUGGCGGCGUGCUUAACACAUGCAAGUCGAACGCUCCUAGAGGUUGGAGAUUAGAGGUUAGAAGCUGGAUUUAAAGCCCGUGUUUCGGGCGGCGGGCUAAAAGGAAAGCCCGAGGUCUAAUUUCCGACUUCCAAUCUCCAACCUCCAGAAGAGAGUGGCGCACGGGUGAGUAACACGUGGGCAAUCUGCCCGGAAGACUGGGAUAACAGCGCGAAAGUGCUGCUAAUACCGGAUACCUUCACGAAGUCGCAUGACUUUGUGCAGAAAGUUUUUCGCUUCCGGAUGAGCCCGCGUCCCAUUAGCUAGUUGGUGAGGUAACGGCCCACCAAGGCGACGAUGGGUAGCUGGUCUGAGAGGACGAUCAGCCACACUGGAACUGAGACACGGUCCAGACUCCUACGGGAGGCAGCAGUGGGGAAUCUUGCGCAAUGGGCGAAAGCCUGACGCAGCAACGCCGCGUGAACGAUGAAGGCCUUCGGGUCGUAAAGUUCUGUCAAGGGGGACGAUAAUGACGGUACCCUUGGAGGAAGCCCCGGCUAACUACGUGCCAGCCGCCGCGGUAAUAC